Long non-coding RNA from Salvelinus namaycush (lake trout), 326 nucleotides. RefSeq lists it as uncharacterized. The transcript has 3 exons. The record is from RefSeq and is a predicted model, not a curated record. NCBI's taxonomy places the organism in Eukaryota, Metazoa, Chordata, Actinopteri, Salmoniformes, Salmonidae.
UGGAGAGUGGACCUGCUGGAUCUAUACAGCUGUCACCAUCACCAACAGAGGACAAUGCUGUCCUUAUGGUGCUGAGAUCCGCAUCGGUAACUCACUGGAGAACAACGGCAUCAACAACCCCAGCCUCCAAGUCAAAGAGAACGGUGGUGAAGAUGAAGGUGAAGAUGAAGAUCCAAUCAGAUGCUGAUCUGACAGACCAGGUGGUCGGUGACCAGCUCCUACAGCAGCUGCGUGUAGAAUUUCUGAAGCAGGGUGUGUCUUACCUUCAACUGCGCUGGAGGCCUCAACCAGAUGGACAGCUAGCUAACUGGCAAGCACAAAACCAG